UCCAUUUCAUUGAUUUAGUUCAUUAACCCCAGCUAGAACCCACGGAAACCCCCCCAACAAAGGUAAGAAAUUCAACUUACAUAAAGGUUCUCAAAACAGCAAACUGUAGUUGAAUUCCCUCUUUUGCUAAGGUAUCCGCUCUCUAGUUUACCUCUCUUCUUACAUGUUGAAUCUCCCACCCCUCAACUUCUCUUUUCAAUAUUUCUGUUUGCAAGAUUAGCUUUCUCAUUCUCCAUAGUGCCACAUCAAGAUGCUUAGUCCAUUUAACCGCCCUGUUGAAAUCGUUUUCGAUGAGAAGCUUGUGGUUACCCUUCCAUCUUGAAACUAAGAAUAUCAAAAAGGCUUGCUUAACAGCCAUCAUCUCAGCAAAAUUAGAAUCAAUCUCACCAAUCGCUUUAGAGAAAAUAAUUUUGACUUCUCCUCUAUGGUCCCUUAAUAUUCCCUUAAUCCUUGUCGAUCCCGAACAGCCUCGAGCUGCUCCGUCCACGUUAAAC
Molecule: long non-coding RNA, 494 nt
Filed under: Theobroma cacao (cacao)
Lineage: Eukaryota; Viridiplantae; Streptophyta; Magnoliopsida; Malvales; Malvaceae
Description: long non-coding RNA (TCAC_LNC001382)
Source: RNAcentral